Molecule: ribosomal RNA, 253 nt
Filed under: uncultured bacterium
Lineage: Bacteria
Description: partial 16S ribosomal RNA
Rfam family: Bacterial small subunit ribosomal RNA
Source: RNAcentral
GACAGAGGUGGCAAGCGUUGUCCGGAUUUACUGGGCGUAAAGAGCGCGCAGGCGGUCGUCCAAGUCGCGUGUGAAAGCCCCCGGCUCAACUGGGGAGGGUCACGCGAUACUGGUCGACUCGAAGGCAGGAGAGGGUAGUGGAAUUCCCGGUGUAGUGGUGAAAUGCGUAGGUAUCGGGAGGAACACCAGUGGCGAAGGCGACUACCUGGCCUGUUCUUGACGCUGAGGCGCGAAAGCUAGGGGAGCAAACGGG